UUGGAGGGCAAGUCUGGUGCCAGCAGCCGCGGUAAUUCCAGCUCCAAUAGCGUAUAUUAAAGUUGUUGCAGUUAAAAAGCUCGUAGUUGAAUUUCGGGGUCAGUAGGUUGGUCGUGCCACUGGUAUGCACUGGUCUCACUGAUUCCUCCUUCCUGAUGAACCGUAAUGCCAUUAAUUUGGUGUUGCGGGGAAUCUGGACUGUUACUUUGAAAAAAUUAGAGUGUUUAAAGCAGGCUAACGCUUGAAUACAUUAGCAUGGAAUAAUGAAAUAGGACGAUCGAUCCUAUUUUGUUGGUUUCUAGGAUUGACGUAAUGAUUAAUAGGGAUAGUUGGGGGCAUUAGUAUUCAAUUGUCAGAGGUGAAAUUCUUGGAUUUAUUGAAGACUAACUACUGCGAAAGCAUUAGCCAAGGAUGUUUUCAUUAAUCAAGAACGAAAGUUAGGGGAUCGAAGACGAUCAGAUACCGUCGUAGUCUUAACCAUAAACUAUGCCGACUAGGGAUCGGAUGAUGUUAAUUUUUUAAUGACUCAUUCGGCGCCUUACGGGAAA
Molecule: ribosomal RNA, 548 nt
Filed under: uncultured Glomeromycotina
Lineage: Eukaryota; Fungi; Glomeromycota
Description: SSU rRNA
Rfam family: Eukaryotic small subunit ribosomal RNA
Source: RNAcentral